Astatotilapia calliptera (eastern happy) is the source of this 1343-nucleotide long non-coding RNA. The record is from Ensembl. NCBI's taxonomy places the organism in Eukaryota, Metazoa, Chordata, Actinopteri, Cichliformes, Cichlidae.
UUUAUGAGUCAUACAUGAAGCAUACCAAAAUAACAUUAAAAUCACCAACAAAGAGACACGUUGCACUGCAAAAAAUGCAAAUCUGUGAGCAGACUUUACAGCUAAUCUGUUGUUGUGCAGGUGGAUUAUAAUGUUUGUACCUCGCAGCCAUCUCCUUCUGUCAAAGUCAUGUGUUAUGCACACUCAGGCGUGUAGUCAAGGUCCAUGUCACAAUCAGAACUCCCCCGGGAUUUCCUUGCUUGUUUCUGGGCAGUUGGGGAAACCCGGAGAGCCGUGACUCGGUGGGCUGUGAGAGUGUGGGAAGAAUGACGGGAUGUAGGGGAUGGCAGCCAGCAGCAGCGGACUGGUCUGGGGGCUUUCGUCGCGAGAUAGAGGAAUGACCACAUCGUCCUGGUCCCACACGUGGAAGGCAUUGUGAGCGAACGGAUGCGCCGAGGGGGGAUGGCUGCCCAUACGUUGGGGAUCAUCAUCGUCUUUGUCUUCAUCUCCAGGUGGACCGAGCAAACACUCUAAAGAAGGAAGACACGGCUUAGCAAAGGAGUAUUCACAACAAACUGAAAGCUGUGAAAAAGCAGGCAAAUUGACCAAAGGUGAUGCAUUAAUGGCGAAAACUGACAGAUAACUGAGGUUUGUGUUGAAAAGAAAGCUUGAAUUCCUGAACAGUCUGGCUGAAAGUGAUGCACAAGUGUUUCAAUUUAAGCCUUUGUAGUACUAAAGCUAAACUAAAGCUACCAAGCACUGACUGUCCCCAUUUUAUUGGCAUGUUUAUUAACAUAUAGAGCAAAAAUAACCUCUGCUUUGAGUGCAGAUGAACUCAUUUGGAUCACAGUGGUGUUAAAAGUACAUGCAUCAGUACUCAGUGUAUCCUCACUGCUGCUGCAUCCCUGUUAUUGUACUCUCAGAGCUGUAAUCCAAACAGAGGAGUACCAAACAGAAGACCCCGGUGCCAGAACUGGCCACCAAUUUUAGACUUGUAACUGUAUUUUCUCUGGUUGUACAGCUUUUACUACUGGUGAAGUUCUCCCCUAUUGCCAUUCAUUCUCCACCACAGUAAUAAAGAUGAAUAAUUAAAAACACAAAGUUCCUGUUUUUUCACAAUCUACUGUUGAAAUGUAGUAUUUUACACUGGGCUCACAAUUUUAAAAAAGACAUUCUGUCAAUUAACAAAUAAAGUUCAGUUUUAUAAUUUCAGCACAGUCUGCACAAUGAGCUAACAGAACCAUUUCUGUAAUUUUACAUAUUUGGUUCUUACAAUUUAAGCCCAGAGCAGCAUUUCUUUAUCAUGUGGAUAAAAAGUGAGCUGUAAAAUUGCACUUCUUUCAUUAAAAUAUCUCAAGCAUUAA